Molecule: non-coding RNA, 814 nt
Organism: Momordica charantia (bitter melon)
Lineage: Eukaryota; Viridiplantae; Streptophyta; Magnoliopsida; Cucurbitales; Cucurbitaceae
Source: RefSeq, a predicted model, not a curated record
AAAACCAGGUUGAGUUUGGACGCGAACUUUGACGGCCUCCAUGGGGCAGAGAGCAACGUCUGCAAUUACUUCGGCAGAUGCCGAACCAGCAAGGCACCCUGAGCACUGUAACCAAGCAAGGUCGGCACCCACCCCCGGAAGAACCCUCUCGCUCCCUGCUCCUUGAGCAGAAUUCCAAAACCCGACGAGAUAUUCUUGUACUUUGUGGGGUCGAUCUAAAAUUUGGAAUAGAAAUUAAAAUAGUGGCCACUGGCCAGAACCAGAAGAGUAUAUUAAAAGAACAUGUUUUCUGUAUAUUGGUAGAGUUAGGAGUAUGAAACUAACAAUUGUUUAAUGGCGUGAAGAUAAGAUCAUGAGGGAGAUUGAACUUAGAUAUAGUAAUUAUUGAGGACCUGCAUAUUGCACUUGACGAGAUCGAGGGGGGUGACAGCCAUGUGGGUGAGUCCACAGCUCAAAAUUCCGCCUGCUGUGCAUGCUGCGUAGAAGGCCGGUGAAUGCAUCUUAAUCUUCUCCUUUGGAGCUGGAAUUGGGAAGCUCUUGCCAUAACUGGAUCGCGUCGAUUCCGUACUACGCAGUGUACGGGAAGAUGAGUAUAGAAAGCUCGGGAUGAGAGAUUGCUGGACAUCUUUGGAGAGAGCCAUUGGUGCGUUGCCUCUUAGUAAUUGGUAAUUGGUGUCCUCCUGACACUAAUCUCUUUAAGGAAGAGAAUAUGGAUUUGACUAUAAAAAGGGCGGGGGAAUUGGAAUAUAUGUGGUGAUAAUUAUUGGCAGAUAAAAAUUUUAUAAUAUCGAUUGCACUGGAAAAUGUUUGAGAA